RNAcentral lists this ribosomal RNA (104 nucleotides) under Clostridium sp. NSJ-49. RNAcentral's name for it is "partial 16S ribosomal RNA". It matches the Rfam family "Bacterial small subunit ribosomal RNA", at positions 1440 to 1533 of the family's 1533-position model. Lineage: Bacteria; Bacillati; Bacillota; Clostridia; Eubacteriales; Clostridiaceae. The record is from RNAcentral.
CGUAAGGGAGGAAGCCACCUAAGGUAGGGUCAGCGAUUGGGGUGAAGUCGUAACAAGGUAGCCGUAGGAGAACCUGCGGCUGGAUCACCUCCUUUCUAUGGAGA